This 468-nucleotide ribosomal RNA is filed under the name uncultured bacterium. RNAcentral's name for it is "partial 16S ribosomal RNA". It matches the Rfam family "Bacterial small subunit ribosomal RNA", at positions 28 to 507 of the family's 1533-position model. The record is from RNAcentral.
GACGAACGCUGGCGGCGUGCUCAACACAUGCAAGUCGAACGGAAAGGCCCUGCUAUUGUGGGGUGCUCGAGUGGCGAACGGGUGAGUAACACGUGAGUAACCUGCCCUUGACUUUGGGAUAACUUCACGAAACUGGGGCUAAUACCGGAUAGGAGCUCCUGCUGCAUGGUGGGGGUUGGAAAGUUUCGGCGGUUGGGGAUGGACUCGCGGCUUAUCAGCUUGUUGGUGGGGUAGUGGCUUACCAAGGCUUUGACGGGUAGCCGGCCUGAGAGGGUGACCGGCCACAUUGGGACUGAGAUACGGCCCAGACUCCUACGGGAGGCAGCAGUGGGGAAUAUUGCACAAUGGGCGGAAGCCUGAUGCAGCAACGCCGCGUGCGGGAUGACGGCCUUCGGGUUGUAAACCGCUUUCGCCUGUGACGAAGCGUGAGUGACGGUAAUGGGUAAAGAAGCACCGGCUAACUACGUG